This 444-nucleotide ribosomal RNA is filed under the name Sidera inflata. RNAcentral's name for it is "SSU rRNA". It matches the Rfam family "Eukaryotic small subunit ribosomal RNA", at positions 737 to 1182 of the family's 1831-position model. Lineage: Eukaryota; Fungi; Basidiomycota; Agaricomycetes; Hymenochaetales; Rickenellaceae. The record is from RNAcentral.
GGGGAACCAGGACUUUUACUUUGAAAAAAUUAGAGUGUUCAAAGCAGGCCUUUGCUCGAAUACAUUAGCAUGGAAUAAUAGAAUAGGACGUGUGGUUCUAUUUUGUUGGUUUCUAGGACCGCCGUAAUGAUUAAUAGGGAUAGUCGGGGGCAUCAGUAUUCAAUCGUCAGAGGUGAAAUUCUUGGAUUGAUUGAAGACUAACUACUGCGAAAGCAUUUGCCAAGGAUGUUUUCAUUAAUCAGUGAACGAAAGUUAGGGGAUCGAAGACGAUCAGAUACCGUCGUAGUCUUAACCAUAAACUAUGCCGACUAGGGAUCGGACGGUGUUAGUAUUUUGACCCGUUCGGCACCUUACGAGAAAUCAAAGUUUUUGGGUUCUGGGGGGAGUAUGGUCGCAAGGCUGAAACUUAAAGAAAUGACAGAGCUGCACCACUAGGCAAGUUUC